This 468-nucleotide ribosomal RNA is filed under the name uncultured bacterium. RNAcentral's name for it is "partial 16S ribosomal RNA". It matches the Rfam family "Bacterial small subunit ribosomal RNA", at positions 28 to 507 of the family's 1533-position model. The record is from RNAcentral.
GACGAACGCUGGCGGCGUGCUUAACACAUGCAAGUCGAACGGAAAGGCCCUGCUUUUGUGGGGUGCUCGAGUGGCGAACGGGUGAGUAACACGUGAGUAACCUGCCCUUGACUUUGGGAUAACUUCAGGAAACUGGGGCUAAUACCGGAUAGGAGCUCCUGCUGCAUGGUGGGGGGUGGAAAGUUUCGGGGGUUGGGGAUGGACUGGCGGCUUAUCAGCUUGUUGGUGGGGUAGUGGCUUACCAAGGCUUUGACGGGUAGUCGGCCUGAGGGGGUGGCCGGCCACAUUGGGACUGAGAUACGGCCCAGACUCCUACGGGAGGCAGCAGUGGGGAAUAUUGCACAAUGGGCGGGAGCCUGAUGCAGCAACGCCGCGUGCGGGAUGACGGCCUUCGGGUUGUAAACCGCUUUCGCCUGUGACGAAGCGUGAGUGACGGUAAUGGGUAAAGAAGCACCGGCUAACUACGUG